Molecule: ribosomal RNA, 402 nt
Filed under: uncultured bacterium
Lineage: Bacteria
Description: bacterial SSU rRNA
Rfam family: Bacterial small subunit ribosomal RNA
Source: RNAcentral
UGGGGAAUAUUGGACAAUGGGCGCAAGCCUGAUCCAGCCAUGCCGCGUGAGUGAUGAAGGCCCUAGGGUUGUAAAGCUCUUUUGUGCGGGAAGAUAAUGACGGUAACCGGAGAAGAAGCCCCGGCUAACUUCGUGCCAGCAGCCGCGGUAAUACGAAGGGGGCUAGCGUUGUUCGGAAUUACUGGGCGUAAAGCGCACGUAGGCGGAUCGAUCAGUUAGGGGUGAAAUCCCGGGGCUCAACCCCGGAACUGCCUCUAAUACUGUAGAUCUGGAGUUCGAGAGAGGUGAGUGGAAUUCCGAGUGUAGAGGUGAAAUUCGUAGAUAUUCGGAGGAACACCAGUGGCGAAGGCGGCUCACUGGCUCGAUACUGACGCUGAGGUGCGAAAGCGUGGGGAGCAAACA